AUACUUACCUGGCAGGGGAGAUACCAUGAUCACGAAGGUGGUUUUCCCAGGGUGAGGCUUAUCCAUUGUACUCUGGAUGUGCUGACCCCUGCGAUUUCCCCAAAUGUGGGAAACUUGACUGCAUAAUUUGUGGUAGUGGGGGACUGUGUUCAUGCUCUCCCCUG
RNAcentral lists this small nuclear RNA (164 nucleotides) under Carlito syrichta (Philippine tarsier). RNAcentral's name for it is "U1 spliceosomal RNA (ENSTSYG00000035000.1)". It matches the Rfam family "U1 spliceosomal RNA". Rfam says of the family: U1 is a small nuclear RNA (snRNA) component of the spliceosome (involved in pre-mRNA splicing). Its 5' end forms complementary base pairs with the 5' splice junction, thus defining the 5' donor site of an intron. Lineage: Eukaryota; Metazoa; Chordata; Mammalia; Primates; Tarsiidae. The record is from Rfam by way of RNAcentral.